This 253-nucleotide ribosomal RNA is filed under the name uncultured bacterium. Its description in RNAcentral is "partial 16S ribosomal RNA". It matches the Rfam family "Bacterial small subunit ribosomal RNA", at positions 524 to 776 of the family's 1533-position model. The record is from RNAcentral.
UACGUAGGGUGCGAGCGUUGUCCGGAAUUAUUGGGCGUAAAGGGCUCGUAGGCGGUUUGUCGCGUCGGGAGUGAAAACCCAGGGCUUAACCCUGGGCUGGCUUCCGAUACGGGCAGACUAGAGGUAUGCAGGGGAGAACGGAAUUCCUGGUGUAGCGGUGAAAUGCGCAGAUAUCAGGAGGAACACCAAUGGCGAAGGCAGCUCGCUGGGACGGUACUGACGCUGAGACGCGAAAGCGUGGGGAGCAAACAGG